Molecule: ribosomal RNA, 465 nt
Filed under: uncultured bacterium
Lineage: Bacteria
Description: partial 16S ribosomal RNA
Rfam family: Bacterial small subunit ribosomal RNA
Source: RNAcentral
GACGAACGCUGGCGGCGUGCUUAACACAUGCAAGUCGAACGGAAAGGCCCUGCUUGCAGGGUACUCGAGUGGCGAACGGGUGAGUAACACGUGGGUGAUCUGCCCUGCACUUCGGGAUAAGCCUGGGAAACUGGGUCUAAUACCGGAUAGGAGCCAUUUUUAGUGUGAUGGUUGGAAAGUUUUUUCGGUGUAGGAUGAGCUCGCGGCCUAUCAGCUUGUUGGUGGGGUAAUGGCCUACCAAGGCGGCGACGGGUAGCCGGCCUGAGAGGGCGGACGGCCACAUUGGGACUGAGAGACGGCCCAGACUCCUACGGGAGGCAGCAGUGGGGAAUAUUGCACAAUGGGCGCAAGCCUGAUGCAGCGACGCCGCGUGGGGGAUGACGGCCUUCGGGUUGUAAACUCCUUUCGCUAGGGACGAAGCUUUUUGUGACGGUACCUAGAUAAGAAGCACCGGCUAACUACGUG